GGGCCUGUAGCUCAGCCUGGAAGAUGAUUAAUCUUGGCUAUGGAGAGCACACGACUGAAGAUCGUGUGGUCGUGAGUUCAAAUCUCACCGGGCCCA
Molecule: transfer RNA, 96 nt
Filed under: Candidatus Woesearchaeota archaeon
Lineage: Archaea; Nanobdellati; Candidatus Woesearchaeota
Description: tRNA-Phe
Rfam family: tRNA
About the family: Transfer RNA (tRNA) molecules are approximately 80 nucleotides in length. Their secondary structure includes four short double-helical elements and three loops (D, anti-codon, and T loops). Further hydrogen bonds mediate the characteristic L-shaped molecular structure. tRNAs have two regions of fundamental functional importance: the anti-codon, which is responsible for specific mRNA codon recognition, and the 3' end, to which the tRNAs corresponding amino acid is attached (by aminoacyl-tRNA synthetases). tRNAs cope with the degeneracy of the genetic code in two manners: having more than one tRNA (with a specific anti-codon) for a particular amino acid; and 'wobble' base-pairing, i.e. permitting non-standard base-pairing at the 3rd anti-codon position.
Source: RNAcentral